Molecule: ribosomal RNA, 324 nt
Filed under: uncultured Actinomycetes bacterium
Lineage: Bacteria; Bacillati; Actinomycetota; Actinomycetes
Description: bacterial SSU rRNA
Rfam family: Bacterial small subunit ribosomal RNA
Source: RNAcentral
GAUGAACGCUGGCGGCGUGCUUAACACAUGCAAGUCGAACGAUUAAAGCCCCUUCGGGGGUGUAUAGAGUGGCGAACGGGUGAGUAACACGUGGGCAAUCUGCCCCUCACUUCGGGAUAACUCAGGGAAACCUGAGCUAAUACCGAAUACUCCGGACUGAUCGCAUGGUCGGUCCGGGAAAGCUCCGACGGUGAGGGAUGAGCCCGCGGCCCAUUAGCUUGUUGGUAGGGUAAUGGCCUACCAAGGCAACGAUGGGUAGCCGCGCUGAGAGGCGGAUCGGCCACACUGGGACUGAGACACGGCCCAGACUCCUACGGGAGGCUG